GCAUAUCAAUAAGCGGAGGAAAAGAAACCAACAGGGAUUGCCCCAGUAACGGCGAAGUGAAGCGGCAACAGCUCAAAUUUGAAAUCUGGCCUCGGCCCGAGUUGUAAUUUGCAGAGGAUGUUUCUGGCGCGGUGCCUUCUGAGUUCCCUGGAACGGGACGCCAUAGAGGGUGAGAGCCCCGUACGGUUGGACGCCUAGCCUGUGUGAAACUCCUUCGACGAGUCGAGUAGUUUGGGAAUGCUGCUCAAAAUGGGAGGUAUAUCUCUUCUAAAGCUAAAUACCGGCCAGAGACCGAUAGCGCACAAGUAGAGUGAUCGAAAGAUGAAAAGCACCUUGAAAAGGGGGUUAAACAGCACGUGAAAUUGUUGAAAGGGAAGCGCCCAUGACCAGACUUGUGCCCGGCGGAUCACCCAGCGUUCUCGCUGGGGCACUCCGCCGGGUCCAGGCCAGCAUCGGUUUUCGCCGGGGGAUAAAGGCUCUGGGAACGUAGCUCCUCCGGGAGUGUUAUAGCCCUCUGCGUAAUACCCUGGCGGGGACCGAGGUACGCGCUCCGCAAGGAUGCUGGCGUAAUGGUCAUCAGCGACCCGUCUUGAAACACGGAUCAAGGAGUCGUCCAUUAGAGCGAGCGUUUGGGUGUCAAACCCGCACGCGUAAUGAAAGUGAACGUAGGUGAGAGCUUCGGCGCAUCAUCGACCGAUCCUGAUGUCCUCGGAUGGAUUUGAGUAUGAGUUUUACUGGACGGACCCGAAAGAUGGUGAACUAUGCCUGUAUAGGGUGAAGCCAGAGGAAACUCUGGUGGAGGCUCGCAGCGGUUCUGACGUGCAAAUCGAUCGUCAAAUAUGGGCAUGGGGGCGAAAGACUAAUCGAACCAUCUAGUAGCUGGUACCGC
Molecule: ribosomal RNA, 889 nt
Filed under: Phaeoacremonium angustius
Lineage: Eukaryota; Fungi; Ascomycota; Sordariomycetes; Togniniales; Togniniaceae
Description: LSU rRNA
Rfam family: Eukaryotic large subunit ribosomal RNA
Source: RNAcentral